RNAcentral lists this small nuclear RNA (99 nucleotides) under Salvator merianae (Argentine black and white tegu). The record is from RNAcentral. Lineage: Eukaryota; Metazoa; Chordata; Lepidosauria; Squamata; Teiidae.
AUGCUCACUUCGGUAGCACAUAUACUAAAAUUGGAACGAUACAGAGAAGAUUACCAUGGCGUCUAUGACACCAUAGGAUGACACACAAAUACCUUUUUU